AGGGAAUACAUGCCCACUUUGGAGGAAUUCUUUGAAGAAGCCAUUGAACAGGCAGACCCUGAAAAUAUGGUUGAAAAUGAAUAUAAGGCUGUGAACAAUUCAAAUUAUGGUUGGAGAGCCCUGAGACUAUUAGCACGGAGAAGCCCUCACUUCUUCCAGCCAACCAACCAGCAGUUUAAAAGUUUACCAGAAUAUCUUGAAAAUAUGGUAAUAAAGCUAGCCAAGGAAUUACCGGUAAGUACCAUAGAUCAACUUUUCAUACCCUUUAGUUGACAUCUUCUUUAAAAUUGCUGUCACUAUGUGAGCAAAAAACUGACUUAAUCAUGUGAAAAACCAGUGAUCCACAAGCUCCCAUGUUUUAGAAUGAGGGAAAAACACAUUGGAAUAUACAUUUACAGGAAAUACAUGAGUUGAUAAAGAAGUAACUGAUAAUUUUCUGUACAGCAUGUAAUUUAAAGUUCAACAGGGCUGUGGGUGUGGUGGCUCACGCCUGUAAUCCCAGCACUGUGGG
Molecule: small RNA, 511 nt
Filed under: Pan troglodytes (chimpanzee)
Lineage: Eukaryota; Metazoa; Chordata; Mammalia; Primates; Hominidae
Description: retained intron
Source: RNAcentral